Molecule: ribosomal RNA, 461 nt
Filed under: uncultured bacterium
Lineage: Bacteria
Description: SSU rRNA
Rfam family: Bacterial small subunit ribosomal RNA
Source: RNAcentral
AGAAUCAACGCUGGCGGCGUGCCUAACACAUGCAAGUCGAACGAGAAAGUGGAGCAAUCCACGAGUAAAGUGGCGCACGGGUGAGUAACACGUGACUAACCUACCCUUGAGUGGGGGAUAACCUAGGGAAACCUGGGCUAAUACCGCAUAAUACCUACGGGUCAAAGGAGUAAUUCGCUUAAGCGAGGGGGUCGCGGCCGAUUAGUUAGUUGGCGGGGUAAUGGCCCACCAAGACGAUGAUCGGUAUCCGGCCUGAGAGGGCGCACGGACACACUGGAACUGAAACACGGUCCAGACUCCUACGGGAGGCAGCAGUGGGGAAUUUUGCGCAAUGGGGGAAACCCUGACGCAGCAACGCCGCGUGGAGGAUGAAGUCCCUUGGGAUGUAAACUCCUUUCGAUCGGGACGAUAAUGACGGUACCGGAAGAAGAAGCCCCGGCUAACUUCGCGCCAGCAGCCGC